ACUAAGAAAAGAUGAACCUGCAGCCCCUGUUAUGCCAUCUGGUCUAAUUGAUACUACUGUUAUCAAGCAAAAGGAGCUCUCUCCCUGAGGCACUGGAAGCCAAUAUUUUGACACCAGGUUUUUGAGAAAGAAAAGUUUUUUUUAUUAUUCUGCCUGCCAGACUGAAACACAAAAAUACUCACCUGAUUCCUUCCCACUGCCAGGACAGCCCAGUUUGUGUGACGGUCAUAACAGCACUGUGUGGGAAGGAGGCAGCCAGACCCUGAGAUAAAGAUGCUAAUUACCAGAGGCAAUUACAACUUUCUCAUAAAUGUCUCCAAAGAGACCACUGAAGUAUCCAAAAGAGGCUCUUACUUUUUCACAAUCCCUGAAGACUGCAAGGAGCAGAAAAUAUUGAGGUUUGAUCUGUGACGCACUUGUAGAGAAGCAUGUUUGUCUCACUGGAUUUCCUAAUUCUAUGAGAUACUCUUCUUCCUAAAAUCAAGCUCAUCCUUAAUUUGCAGAUCCAUUAUGUAAGUAUUCAGCAGGUAACUGGAAUCAGAUAAAGGAUCUAGAAUGGAUUAAUAAAAAAUGAGAUAAAUGU
Long non-coding RNA from Pan troglodytes (chimpanzee), 583 nucleotides. RefSeq lists it as uncharacterized. The transcript is spliced from 3 exons. The record is from RefSeq and is a predicted model, not a curated record. Lineage: Eukaryota; Metazoa; Chordata; Mammalia; Primates; Hominidae.